This 825-nucleotide unclassified non-coding RNA is filed under the name Bombus terrestris (buff-tailed bumblebee). RNAcentral's name for it is "misc RNA ENSBTSG00005019832.1". The record is from RNAcentral. Lineage: Eukaryota; Metazoa; Arthropoda; Insecta; Hymenoptera; Apidae.
UCGUCUGAUAGAUGUUGUAGAUGAAGAAGAAAUUCCCGGUAGCUUGAAAUGCCUCCGGUACAAGAGUAUACAUACCCGUUCCGAUCGAGCUUCUACUAUCGUCAGAAUGUUGUUAUCACCGCGUGGUUAUUCGUUCCGGGUCCGGUAGCAGAACAAUUAUCCAGCUAAAUAAUAUGCCGUGAAUUGCGAUGAAUUAAUCCGGUAAUUUCAAGAGAAACUUCAACUGGAGCAUCGAAGCGAAGCGGUGAUUAGUGAAAUGGCUUGUUUAACAGCAUUGGAAAUCCGUAGCAUCGAUCGCAGGAGCUCUCCGGAUCGGACAGGUCGGAGAGAGAGGGCACUUUCCGCAUCGAGGUGAACCUGCCGGAGAGGGCAGGCACCAGGCCCUCUUCCUCGGCGUCAGAGGCCAGCUCUUGUUUCAUCAACUUCGCCAUAACCGUCAACAUGCCGCCACCGUCGCUAAUGCUGCCGCCUCCCAGAUAGCUACCCACGCCUCUGGCAUCGCGCUGAAAGAAGAAGAAAGCAGAGACUUUCUUUUUAAUUCGAUCUAUUGACAGAAUGAUACAUUGUUGCUCGAUUUUUGUUAAUAUCGAUCGUGAACGAGAAUCAGAUUCGUUAAAAAAAAGGCAGUAAAAAGAAUAAAUUGGUAACAUUCACAUUACCAUUAUUCUUAACAUAAGAGAGCGAUGUUAGACAAUGUUACGAAUAGUCUAGUUUCGCAGUUACGGCAGACUAGACAUUGCUGUUGGCUUAUUUAAAUUUAAAGACGGUCAGUGUUUAACUAUAAUUGCAGUGUAUACGUAUAUGUUAAUGUAAUCAGAUGUGUAU